CCAGGAGUGGGAAGAGGGCAAGAGUUCUCCUUGGGGAAUACAUUUGCUGAAUUUUUUUAAAUUGCCACAUUUCCUAUCUUUAGCAUUUGAAAAAUAUUGACUGUACUGAAAAGUUUUAAAUUUAUGGCAGGUUACUAGGGAUUUUUCAGCAUAGCCUGAUCCAAGUAUUCCCUUUGAAGUAGUGCCUAUAAUAUAGUGCACUUCACCAAAGAAGAGAAAAGAAAAACAGCCUGUCUCCUUGAGAACAAGAACAAACCGCUUGCAAACAUGAAUUGAAAGCCUACUUUCUGAGUAGAGAUACUAGUGACCAACAAAGCCAUAACCUACCUCCACCUCUCAUGCAACAGCAGUGGGAGACUCCAUGGGGCAACGACCUCUCUGCUGACUUCUCAGAAUCAUUAGCCUCUGGUCUAUCAACCUGCAGAUAAGAAAUCUCAAGAAAGGAAGAGUGAUUGGAACUCUAAAGGAAGGCAGGAAAAUGAAGGUCAGAAGGCAGACUCCACCGCCUCUCCUGCUGCCAGUUUGUUGAAGAUCCAGUUUCGGAUCCUACAUUUAAUUUUGUUGUCAUGCCUCCACAGAGAUCUCCUCCAAUCAGUGACAGUUCAAAAUCAUCUGGGGAAGAAAAACGGAAGCCCAGAGAAAGUUCCUGUGUCCAACUGAAGGGCUGCUCCAUUCUACUCAAAGAAGCAUUUUGGUGAAGUCCAAUCACAAGAAACAACUCAUAGCAUGACAUUCUUACAGGGAAUUUGCACUGCCAAUUUUAUCUGUGUCCACUUCCCGAAGGAUCAGAACUAUCAGAGUUAAUAGUCAGAGUGAAUUGAGAAUUGGAUUUGAGAACUGAAUCCCUUACCACCCAACUGCCAAUAAGGACACAAGUGGUCAGAGCUUUACCAGGACAUCUUCUAUGAAGUAAAAGACUAAUUGUUAUAAGUGCAUCUCCCAAAACAAGGAAGGAACCUCUCUGGGGUCCCCAAAUAAUUCUUUCAUUUACACAUUGGUUGACAUGAAAAAGAACCAGCUUUAAGUGAAUGUGAAAGAACUAUGUAGCAGGUCCAGACUGUGGUACAAUAGCCCUACCACUUGGGUUAUACAUUCUAGCAGACCCUGUACUAUUGGGGGUGUCUGAAGUGGAAGAUGUAGCAUGGAGUUUCUGGCAAGGACCAUUGGGCAUACUACAAGGCAGGGUCCUGAGGUUCAACAGCAAGGCCAAAACAUAGGCCAGGGAGAGUUAUUUGCCUUUUAAAGACAGCUCCAAGGGAGUUAGUGGGCCCUGGUAGAGAGGGAAUACUUGGCCGUGAGACACCAAAAGCCACACCAGAAUUUCCCAUCAAGAGCUGAGUUAUAUUAGAACCAUCAAGUCAUAGAAUCAAAUAGUCCCAGCAGCAAUUCAUGCUAAGAUAAAAAUGGUAGAUACAUUCAGGAUUAAACACUAGUAAAGACCAGACAGUACAAGUAAGCUAUAUGAUCAAGCACAGCAGACCCCCACAUCAUCAUGCUGGCUGAAUGCCCCUCCAUCAGCUCACACUAAUGAACAUAUGGCGGAGGGCAUCUACAAAACCAUCUGAAGCAGGAAGGAACAGCCUGAAUUUAGUUUAUGAAUAGUUCAGCAUAUGGGUACAAGCCGAAAUUAAAUGAUAACUGCAUUAUAGCCACACUCAGAAAAAUGAUCUUGAAAAACAGUAGAGAGGAAAAAUCUUACAGCUGGGAAGAAUCUUAAACAGAACAACUGGCUUAUCCACUUAUAAUAGAAAGAUAAGUGGCCUAAACUAAUAUAUAUGGAAUAGAUAUCAGUGGCAGAUGAGUCUGGCAAGUUGGUCAGGAGUAUGAAAGCCAGGAGUUAGAAGGUUGUAGACAAAUACUUAAAAAAAGACUUAAGGACAAAACUUUUGGAGUAGAGGGUGAAGAUGUAUAUGUGGGAGUGAAUGUAUUUUAUUUGAAACAUGUUCUUAUCACAUGUUAAUAACUUCCAGAAAGCAUUCAUAAUUGAAAAGGCAUUGAAUAAACAAGCAGAAAAAAUUGGGCAAGCCAAGUGGCAUUAGGCAGUGUUUGCCAUCAGACUUUUGAAUUGGCAUGAUGGUUCCAUGAACAGAGUGGCUACAGCAGCAGAGAUGAAGACUAAUUAAUCACGGGCCACCCUUAUCAAUGCCUCUGAUUUAACAACAGAGCCCAAAAGUAUAUCCCUAAUAUGGCCCUAUUCCUUGAGGAGACUGCCCAGCCACUUGAUGACAAGAUGAUUAUAUUGGAUCACUGUGAACCUCAUGUCUACUAUGCAUCUGGCUGCUUCCUCCUGAUGAAAAUAAUAUCCUCUAUUUCUCUUCCUAUUUCCAAAUCUCAAAUGAAUGCCUUUCAUUGGAAAAUGAUUCAGGAACCAGUUGAGGAAGAGAAUUCAGGAAAUGAAGUUCCUACCUUUUCUUCUGUGAUGCAGAGAUCUUACAAGGAGGUGGCUAUGAGGCCAAGUUAAUGACAAACAUUUGACCAUGGUCCAUCCCUUGUCAACCUGGCAUUUAUACUCUUUUGUUACCCACAAUUAAACUUCCAAGUUAAAGCAAUAAUAAUUGCUGAUGGCUGAUUUUAUAACAAUCUUCAAGCAUGAUAUAUCAAUGGAGAAAAAAAGGGAUUUGACCCAGGCAAAAUAAUUUGUCUUUCUUUGUUAAGGUUAAAUAAAUUGGACAUCUUAAAGAGAGGCAGGAGAGCAUAGUAGUUUAAAAAUGUGGACUCACAAGACAGAUUGUUUGGGAUCGAUCUUAUCUCUCCUCCUUACUAGCUUGUGACAUUCAGCCAGUUGCUUAGUUUCUUGACAUCUCACUCUCCUUUCUCCUAAGAUAGAGAUAAUAACUGCACCUAUUUCAAAGGGUUGUUGUGAUAAAAAAAAAAAAAAACAUGUUCAAAUAUGUUAAAAUGCCUAGAUCCAUGCCUACCAUAUAGUGGACAUUCUAUAAGUUCAGUUGUGAUUAUUCCCAUCUUGAAGACAGUUUGUGGUUGUGCCUGCAGGCAAGAAAAUGACAAAAUGUCGAGUUUUUUUUUUAAAUUAAGACUUUAUUUAUUUAUUUGAGAGAGAGAGAGCAUGAGGGGAGGCAAGCAGAAAGAGAGGGAGAAGAAGGCUCCCCACUGAGCAGGGAGCCAGAGGCAGGGCUCAAUCCCAGGACUCUGAGAUCAUGACCUGAUCCAAAGGCAGAUGCUUAACCAACUGAGCCACUCAGGCGCCCCCAAAUGACCUCUUAUGAUCUCCUCUAAUGCGGAGUUUCAAAGAUUUUUGUGGUUUAAGGUUGCUGAAUUUGCCCAGUCCUAAAAGUUUUCCCACCCUUCCUACCUUAUCUUCAUCUUCACUGUCUUCUCUGUGGACAGAAUGCUCUUAGCAGUGUAUGGGAAACAUCACUGACUCAUGCUCUCCUCUGCCGCCAUCCUCCACCAUCAAUCAGUUCAUCUGGUCAGAUCACCUUCUCACCAACCCACCUUAUUCUCUUUUCUUUCUCUCAUCUCCAAAAAAUUUUCCAUGCCUCCUCUGGUGUUUGAGGUUUUUCUUAAGUCUUCCUAGACAGUAGUUCUGAUUUGGUCCAGGGAAGAAUAACGUCAAGCAUAGUCCUGGGAUGGAAAUUGCAAAGGCUCAAAUAUAAUUCCAGCAUUCCAAUUUGGAACCCAGAGGGUUGGGAGUUCCAUAACUGGUGCACACUCAGCACUUUGCUCCCUUGUGUUAUUGGUGCACAUUGGAUUAUAAACUCUUUUAAGGACAUGGCUUGUGUUUUAUUCAUCUUUGUAUCUUUCCCAGCACCUGGCACAAUGUUUUGCUCAAUAAAGGAUUGUUAAUGGAAAUAAAUAAAAUGAAAUGGAAUAAUGUC
Molecule: long non-coding RNA, 3836 nt
Organism: Canis lupus familiaris (dog)
Lineage: Eukaryota; Metazoa; Chordata; Mammalia; Carnivora; Canidae
Exons: 4
Source: RefSeq, a predicted model, not a curated record